Molecule: long non-coding RNA, 1579 nt
Organism: Daktulosphaira vitifoliae (grape phylloxera)
Lineage: Eukaryota; Metazoa; Arthropoda; Insecta; Hemiptera; Phylloxeridae
Exons: 3
Source: RefSeq, a predicted model, not a curated record
AUUAUAAUUGCGUUUCGAAUUUCUUUCUUGGAAGUUUUUAGGGAAACGCAUUGGAAAAUAUAAUUAUAUUCUUUUACACAAUUGCAUGAUAUCAAUUAAAACUUUUGAAUUUUAGGCGUAUUAUAAGUUUUAAUAACCAAGCGAUUGAAGAAUAGUAAUUAUAAAAUACAGCAAUGAAUUAAAAUUUUCAAUGGAUGGAGUUCUAUAAAUUAAAACACUCAAAGCCUAUCGACAAGGUUGCAACCAAACUAACAGGAAUUAGGAAUGUAUAUUACAAUGUUAUGGUUAAAAAUUGUUGAACAAUUUUAACAAUCAUCAUUAUUACAAACGAUGAAAACACGUGUGCGUCAUUGGAUAAGAGAUAAAACUACUAGGAAUAUGACACUUAUAGAAAAUGGACUAACUAAAUUCACAGGCCGCUUUAUCUUCUGAUCCUAUUGUGAAAAGAGUGGGGAUUAAGCAGGAUGAACGUUACAUAAAAUAACAGAUCUAAAAAUAGAUACAUGGGCACAGAAUUAUGUUAUUUGCCUACUAUCACUUGAACAACUGUAUAUUUUUAGGAGUGGAUGCGCAGUUGCUGAUUAUUUGCUGUCUAGCGUUUGGUAAACAAUUGCAAUGAAUAGGUAUAACUUAAUACGCAUUUUUUUAAUUGGUUUAAAAACCAUAAUCGAAAAUGUUUGUAAUAAAUUACGUACAUAUAUAAUUAUAAGUGUUAUUUGUAUAGUAAACUUUUGUUUUGUCCAUUUAUCAGCUGCCGAAACUUGGGUCAUUAGAUAAACACAUUACUUCAUUGGUUCGAUAAUGGCGCCAUUAGAAAAAAAAAUGUAAAAACUUGUAUUACUACAUUAGUUAUUUGUGUUAAUGAAGAGCAUCGACGAUAAAAUUUUUAUUAAUAGGUUAAAUCGAAACGUCAGCUUUAAUUGAAGAAUUAUAAGUUGCACAAUCUCUUCUGAUAAGAGCGAUAUUCAAUUGUAACGCAAUGACGAAUACUUUUUUAUUUUGAUCUUUUAUCAGUUAUAUAUUAUGAUCACUCAUAUAAAUAGAGACUGACAGAAGAUAAAAAAUAAUAGAUGAAAAAUAGCACAUAAUAUUUGAGUAUGUUUAUAUACUUUAUAAAAAAGAAGGCCAUUGUUUGUAUGACAUAUUUUCAAUCACUUUGAUUUUUAAGCUAAUCAAAUACACAACACUUCCUACUAUCUAGAUAGUGCAGUGAAGUUAAGAUUGUUCAUAUUUAUAUAAAAUAAUGAUAACAACACAUUUAUAAAGCCUGGCCUUGAGUCUUAAAAUUUUUAAUUAUCGUAUUACACAGUAAAUAAAAUAAUCGUAUCAAUUAAAACUGCUUUCAAUAAUGGCUACAUUAAGUUAUGAUAUUGCAGGAGUUUGAUGGAUAAGAUUUAUUUAAAUCCUUUCAACUUUUUGCCGACUUUCAUUCUAUUUUUAUUUAUUACUUAUUCACAAUUCUUAUUAGACAUUGAAUAAGUAUAAAAUUUAGUAAAAUAAAAAUAAUUUUUAAAAUUUCAAUUUACAUUAAACGCUGCAAUAAUUUAAUUAAUAAUAAGUAGCAUUAACUUGAACCUUU